Molecule: ribosomal RNA, 644 nt
Filed under: uncultured eukaryote
Lineage: Eukaryota
Description: SSU rRNA
Rfam family: Eukaryotic small subunit ribosomal RNA
Source: RNAcentral
AUCCUGACGCAGGGAGGUAGUGACAAUAAAUAACAAUGCUCUGGCUCUUCGAGUCGGGCAAUUGGAAUGAGAACAAUUUAAAUCCCUUAUCGAGGAUCAAUUGGAGGGCAAGUCUGGUGCCAGCAGCCGCGGUAAUUCCAGCUCCAAUAGCGUAUAUUAAAGUUGUUGCAGUUAAAAAGCUCGUAGUUGGAUUUCUGCUUUGAGCGUCCGGUCCGCUCCUUUGGAGUGUGUUACUAGGAUGGUUGAGGCAUUUUUUGUGAGGACGCCCUUCUGCCAUUCAGUUGGUGGUUGGAUGGACUUGCAUCGUUUACUGUGAAAAAAUUAGAGUGUUUAAAGCAGGCGUUUGCUCAUUGAAUACAUUAGCAUGGAAUAAUAAGAUACGACCUUGGUGGUCUAUUUUGUUGGUUUGCACACCAGGGUAAUGAUUAAUAGGGACAGUUGGGGGUAUUCAUAUUGCAGCGUCAGAGGUGAAAUUCUUGGAUCGCUGCAAGAUGAGCUUAGGCGAAAGCAUUUACCAAGGAUGUUUUCAUUAAUCAAGAGCGAAAGUUAAGGGAUCGAAGAUGAUUAGAUACCAUCGUAGUCUUAACCAUAAACUAUGCCGACUCGGGAUUGGCAGUCGUUUUUUUAAUGACCUUGUCAGCACC